This 334-nucleotide RNase P RNA is filed under the name Pleonosporium borreri. RNAcentral describes it as "ribonuclease P RNA". It matches the Rfam family "Bacterial RNase P class A", at positions 43 to 352 of the family's 367-position model. From Rfam's summary of the family: Ribonuclease P (RNase P) is a ubiquitous endoribonuclease, found in archaea, bacteria and eukarya as well as chloroplasts and mitochondria. Its best characterised activity is the generation of mature 5'-ends of tRNAs by cleaving the 5'-leader elements of precursor-tRNAs. The record is from RNAcentral. Lineage: Eukaryota; Rhodophyta; Florideophyceae; Ceramiales; Ceramiaceae.
GAGGAAAGUCCGGACUCUAUUUAGAGAAUUAUUGCUGUAUGAAAAGCAGUGUAGGUAACUACGAGGAAAGUGCCACAGAAAGAAACCGCCUAUUUUAAUUUAGGUAAGGGUGCAAUGGUUUGGUAAAAGCAUACCAGAAGUAUUAUUAAGAUAUUUGCUAGGUAAACCCCAUACUAGAGCAAAGUGGCUAAUAAAAUUAUGAUUAUCUCUAAAUCAAUACUAUAUAUUUUUAUUAGUUAAUUUAUACUGCAAAAAGUAAUAUAUUUAUUACUUAAGAUUAAUAAUUACCCUUUUUUGUAUUUGUUAGUACAAAUAAGAACAAAAUCCGGCUUAU